UAACGGCGGCCGUAACGAUAACGGUCCUAAGGUAGCGAAAUUCCUUGUCGGGUAAGUUCCGACCUGCACGAAUGGCAUAACGACUUCCCCACUGUCUCGGAGAGGCCCUCAGCGAAGUAGCACUAGGGGUGAAGAUACCCUUUACCCGCGGCAGGACGGAAAGACCCCGUGAACCUUUACUGUAACUUGGCACUGAUUUUCGGGUUAGCUUGCGUAGGAUAGGUGGGAGGCUAUGAAGCCGGGAUUCCGGUCUCGGCAGAGCCAACCUUGAAAUACCACCCCUGGCUAACCUAAAAAUACUAACUCGCUUCCGUAAUCCGGAAGGAGGACAAUGCCUGGUGGGCAGUUUGACUGGGGCGGGUCGCCUCCCCAAAAAAGUAAACGGAGGCGCGCGAAGGUUCCCUCAGCCUGAUUGGAAACCAGGCGCAG
This 429-nucleotide ribosomal RNA is filed under the name uncultured bacterium. Its description in RNAcentral is "bacterial LSU rRNA". It matches the Rfam family "Bacterial large subunit ribosomal RNA", at positions 1925 to 2347 of the family's 2925-position model. The record is from RNAcentral.